Molecule: ribosomal RNA, 439 nt
Filed under: uncultured bacterium
Lineage: Bacteria
Description: partial 16S ribosomal RNA
Rfam family: Bacterial small subunit ribosomal RNA
Source: RNAcentral
CUACGGGAGGCUCCAGUGGGGAAUAUUGCACAAUGGAGGAAACUCUGAUGCAGCAACGCCGCGUGGAGGAUGACACUUUUCGGAGCGUAAACUCCUUUUAUAUAGGAAGAAGAUGACGGUACUAUAUGAAUAAGCGCCGGCUAACUCCGUGCCAGCAGCCGCGGUAAUACGGAGGGCGCAAGCGUUACUCGGAAUCACUGGGCGUAAAGAGCGUGUAGGCGGAUUAAAAAGUCAGAAGUGAAAUCCUAUAGCUUAACUAUAGAACUGCUUCUGAAACUCUUAAUCUAGAAUGUGGGAGAGGUAGAUGGAAUUUCUGGUGUAGGGGUAAAAUCCGUAGAGAUCAGAAGGAAUACCGAUUGCGAAGGCAAUCUACUAGAACAUUAUUGACGCUGAGACGCGAAAGCGUGGGGAGCAAACAGGAUUAGAUACCCUAGUAGUC